ACUUUGUACCUUGAAAGAUCCAAAUUGGAUUGGGAGUCCAGUUGUUAAUGUCUUCGGGCAAAUGCUAAUCCUCAAACAAAUAAAAAUAUCUGGAUCUAUAUCACGGCACUACUUUCCCACACACUUUGGGGAAAAGAUUGCUAAAGGAGGGACAAUAAAAGAUCUAGAACCUUACUAUUCAAGGGAGAAGCUAGGCUACAACUUGACU
Molecule: long non-coding RNA, 208 nt
Organism: Telopea speciosissima
Lineage: Eukaryota; Viridiplantae; Streptophyta; Magnoliopsida; Proteales; Proteaceae
Exons: 3
Source: RefSeq, a predicted model, not a curated record